RNAcentral lists this ribosomal RNA (427 nucleotides) under Thermococcus sp. MV2. RNAcentral's name for it is "bacterial SSU rRNA". It matches the Rfam family "Archaeal small subunit ribosomal RNA", at positions 91 to 516 of the family's 1478-position model. The record is from RNAcentral. Lineage: Archaea; Methanobacteriati; Methanobacteriota; Thermococci; Thermococcales; Thermococcaceae.
CAGUAACACGUCGGUAACCUACCCUCGGGAGGGGGAUAACCCCGGGAAACUGGGGCUAAUCCCCCAUAGGCCUGGGGUACUGGAAGGUCCCCAGGCCGAAAGGGGCUCUGCCCGCCCGAGGAUGGGCCGGCGGCCGAUUAGGUAGUUGGUGGGGUAACGGCCCACCAAGCCGAAGAUCGGUACGGGCCAUGAGAGUGGGAGCCCGGAGAUGGACACUGAGACACGGGUCCAGGCCCUACGGGGCGCAGCAGGCGCGAAACCUCCGCAAUGCGGGAAACCGCGACGGGGGGACCCCCAGUGCCGUGGCACAGCCACGGCUUUUCCGGAGUGUAAAAAGCUCCGGGAAUAAGGGCUGGGCAAGGCCGGUGGCAGCCGCCGCGGUAAUACCGGCGGCCCAAGUGGUGGCCGCUAUUAUUGGGCCUAAAGC